RNAcentral lists this ribosomal RNA (360 nucleotides) under uncultured soil bacterium. RNAcentral's name for it is "bacterial SSU rRNA". It matches the Rfam family "Bacterial small subunit ribosomal RNA", at positions 26 to 379 of the family's 1533-position model. The record is from RNAcentral.
AGAUUGAACGCUGGCGGCAGGCCUAACACAUGCAAGUCGAGCGCGAAAGUUCCUUCGGGAAUGAGUAGAGCGGCGGACGGGUGAGUAACGCGUAGGAAUUUGCCCAGUAGUGGGGGACAACGUCGGGGAAACUCGAGCUAAUACCGCAUACGCCCCAAGGGGGAAAGCAGGGGAUCUUCGGACCUUGCGCUAUUGGAUAAGCCUGCGUCGGAUUAGCUAGUUGGUGGGGUAAGGCCUACCAAGGCAACGGAUCCCGUAGCCUGGUACUGAGAGGAUGAUCAGCCACAUUGGGACUGACGACACGGCCCAAAGUCCUACGGGAGGCAGCUAGGUCGGGGAAUAGUUAGGACAAGUGGGACG